Columba livia (rock pigeon) is the source of this 403-nucleotide long non-coding RNA. RefSeq lists it as uncharacterized. Lineage: Eukaryota; Metazoa; Chordata; Aves; Columbiformes; Columbidae. The record is from RefSeq and is a predicted model, not a curated record. The transcript has 3 exons.
CGCCCCUGAGCUCUGAGAGGCCGGAGCAGGGCUGGGAGCCUCUCGGGGGGGUCUUCGGUACCGUUGGAAGCACCCCCUGCGUUGUGGUAUAAGUGCAAAUUGCACCUACUUUCCGUCUGCUGUUCCCUUGUUUGACAGGUAUGACAAGUAUAAACAUGGAGGUGAUGUCUAUGAGGAAUCCCAAGUGAAACAGGACCAAUACUGAUGAAAGCUUGGUGUUCAAACCUGAAGAUGAUGUGUUGGAGACCUCUGCAGCGGCAACUGCUGAAAGAUCUGCAUUUGACCUGGAGCAGUUCCAGCAGCACUUGUACAUGUAUGCUACCAAGAGGUUUGAGUACAUCUCUGUCUACAAAGUGAGUUGGUUUUUAGGAGCAGUUGAUUACAAUAUGCACUUGAAUCGGCA